GCCUCGGUAGCGCAGUAGGCAGCGCGUCAGUCUCAUAAUCUGAAGGUCAUGAGUUCGAUCCUCACUCGGGGCG
Molecule: transfer RNA, 73 nt
Filed under: Dermacentor andersoni
Lineage: Eukaryota; Metazoa; Arthropoda; Arachnida; Ixodida; Ixodidae
Description: transfer RNA methionine (anticodon CAU)
Rfam family: tRNA
About the family: Transfer RNA (tRNA) molecules are approximately 80 nucleotides in length. Their secondary structure includes four short double-helical elements and three loops (D, anti-codon, and T loops).
Source: RNAcentral